Molecule: small nuclear RNA, 22 nt
Filed under: Arabidopsis thaliana (thale cress)
Lineage: Eukaryota; Viridiplantae; Streptophyta; Magnoliopsida; Brassicales; Brassicaceae
Description: snRNA_00133
Source: RNAcentral
AUUCUGGCGGAAGAGAGGGUCA